Molecule: small nuclear RNA, 107 nt
Organism: Arvicola amphibius (Eurasian water vole)
Lineage: Eukaryota; Metazoa; Chordata; Mammalia; Rodentia; Cricetidae
Source: RefSeq, a predicted model, not a curated record
GUGCUCAUCUCAGCAGCACACAUACUCAAAUUGGAGUAAUACCGAGGAGAUUAGCAUGGCCCCUCCAUAAGGACGACACACAAAUUAAUGAAGCAUUUCAUAUUUAU